CUUAGUGUCUCUUUUGUUUAACUGGCAAUGACAUAGAUUAGAGUAUGUUUUAAAUGUUCAUUGAAUUUAUUGAGUAAUUGUGUGUUCUCUGUUUUUAUUUUAUUUUAAAAGUAAAUUUGGGACCAUUCUCCAUUUAAAGGAAACAAGUCUCCUGAGAGCAUGACUGAUUCCAGGACUGGGCAGAGAAGGUUCAGGUCAAACCCAGAAAAUCUUGUUAUCUACAGAGAAAGGUGUUGACCUCAAGGGCGCCCUCAGUACACAUCCACACACUACGUUCUGUCUUGCAGCCUGCUCCCUGAAGAAACAAAAUGGCAACAGGCACUCUGCUGAGCACUUCCUAAGCAUCGCCUCAUGUAAUCCUGUCAACUUUCCCCAUAACGGAUGAGGAAACUCAGAUACAGAGGACGUAAGUGAUUUGGCCAAGGAUCAGCAGACUUGAACCACUCCAGAC
This is a long non-coding RNA of Camelus dromedarius (Arabian camel), 451 nucleotides long. RefSeq lists it as uncharacterized. NCBI's taxonomy places the organism in Eukaryota, Metazoa, Chordata, Mammalia, Artiodactyla, Camelidae. The record is from RefSeq and is a predicted model, not a curated record. The transcript has 3 exons.